RNAcentral lists this ribosomal RNA (253 nucleotides) under uncultured bacterium. RNAcentral describes it as "partial 16S ribosomal RNA". It matches the Rfam family "Bacterial small subunit ribosomal RNA", at positions 524 to 776 of the family's 1533-position model. The record is from RNAcentral.
AACGUAGGACACAAGCGUUAUCCGGAGUUACUGGGCGUAAAGGGCGUGCAGGCGGUUUCUUAAGUCAGGCGUGAAACCAUUCGGCUAAACCGGGUGUAGUCGUCUGAGACUGGGAAACUUGAGUGUGGUAGAGGCGUGUAGAAUUCCGGGUGUAGUGGUGAAAUGCGUAGAUAUCCGGAGGAAUACCAGUGGCGAAGGCGGCACGCUGGGCCAUAACUGACGCUAAGACGCGAAAGCAUGGGUAGCGAACGGG